This 459-nucleotide ribosomal RNA is filed under the name uncultured bacterium. RNAcentral's name for it is "SSU rRNA". It matches the Rfam family "Bacterial small subunit ribosomal RNA", at positions 26 to 518 of the family's 1533-position model. The record is from RNAcentral.
AGAAUCAACGCUGGCGGCGUGCCUAACACAUGCAAGUCGAACGAGAAAGUGGAGCAAUCCAUGAGUAAAGUGGCGCACGGGUGAGUAACACGUGACUAACCUACCCUUGAGUGGGGAAUAACUUCGGGAAACCGAGGCUAAUACCGCAUAACACCUACGGGUCAAAGGAGCAAUUCGCUUAAGGAGGGGGUCGCGGCCGAUUAGCUAGUUGGCGGGGUAAUGGCCCACCAAGGCAAUGAUCGGUAGCCGGCCUGAGAGGGCGCACGGCCACACUGGAACUGAAACACGGUCCAGACUCCUACGGGAGGCAGCAGUGGGGAAUUUGCGCAAUGGGGGAAACCCUGACGCAGCAACGCCGCGUGGAGGAUGAAGCCCCUUGGGGUGUAAACUCCUUUCGAUCGGGACGAUUAUGACGGUACCGGAUGAAGAAGCACCGGCUAACUCUGUGCCAGCAGCCGC